AGCAGCCGCGGUAAUUCCAGCUCCAAUAGCGUAUAUUAAAGUUGUUGCAGUUAAAAAGCUCGUAGUUGAAUUUCGGGAUCAAUUAAUUGGUCGUGCCUCUGGUACGUACUGAUUUUAUUGGUUUCUCCCUUCUGACGAACCUUGAUGUCAUUAAUUUGGUGUCUUGGGGAAUUAGGACUGUUACUUUGAAAAAAUUAGAGUGUUUAAAGCAGGCUCACGCUUGAAUACAUUAGCAUGGAAUAAUGAAAUAGGACGUUUGAUUCUAUUUUGUUGGUUUCUAGGAUUGACGUAAUGAUUAAUAGGGAUAGUUGGGGGCAUUAGUAUUCAAUUGUCAGAGGUGAAAUUCUUGGAUUUAUUGAAGACUAACUACUGCGAAAGCAUUUGCCAAGGAUGUUUUCA
Molecule: ribosomal RNA, 399 nt
Filed under: uncultured Glomeromycotina
Lineage: Eukaryota; Fungi; Glomeromycota
Description: SSU rRNA
Rfam family: Eukaryotic small subunit ribosomal RNA
Source: RNAcentral